This 460-nucleotide ribosomal RNA is filed under the name uncultured bacterium. Its description in RNAcentral is "partial 16S ribosomal RNA". It matches the Rfam family "Bacterial small subunit ribosomal RNA", at positions 338 to 795 of the family's 1533-position model. The record is from RNAcentral.
CCUACGGGGGACAGCAGUGAGGAAUAUUGGUCAAUGGGCGGAAGCCUGAACCAGCCAAGUCGCGUGAGGGAAUAAGGCCCUACGGGUCGUAAACCUCUUUUGCCGGGGAGCAAGGGCCGGGACGAGUCCCGGUCCGGAGAGUACCCGGAGAAAAAGCAUCGGCUAACUCCGUGCCAGCAGCCGCGGUAAUACGGAGGAUGCGAGCGUUAUCCGGAUUUAUUGGGUUUAAAGGGUGCGUAGGCGGGCUGUUAAGUCAGCGGUAAAAAUUCGGGGCUCAACCCCGUCCGGCCGUUGAAACUGGGGGCCUUGAGUGGGCGAGAGGAAGGCGGAAUGCGUGGUGUAGCGGUGAAAUGCAUAGAUAUCACGCAGAACCCCGAUUGCGAAGGCAGCCUUCCGGCGCCCUACUGACGCUGAGGCACGAAAGUGCGGGGAUCGAACAGGAUUAGAUACCCGAGUAGUC